RNAcentral lists this ribosomal RNA (918 nucleotides) under uncultured bacterium. Its description in RNAcentral is "bacterial SSU rRNA". It matches the Rfam family "Bacterial small subunit ribosomal RNA", at positions 8 to 916 of the family's 1533-position model. The record is from RNAcentral.
AGAGUUUGAUCCUGGCUCAGGAUGAACGCUAGCUACAGGCUUAACACAUGCAAGUCGAGGGGCAGCAUGGGCUUAGCUUGCUAAGCCCGAUGGCGACCGGCGCACGGGUGAGUAACACGUAUCCAACCUGCCGAUCACUCCGGUACAGCCUUUCGAAAGAAAGAUUAAUCCCGGAUUGUAUGGCGAUUCCGCAUGGUUUCUCCAUUAAAGGUUUUUUCCGGUGAUCGAUGGGGAUGCGUUCCAUUAGGCAGUUGGCGGGGUAACGGCCCACCAAACCUACGAUGGAUAGGGGUUCUGAGAGGAAGGUCCCCCACAUUGGAACUGAGACACGGUCCAAACUCCUACGGGAGGCAGCAGUGAGGAAUAUUGGUCAAUGGGCGGAAGCCUGAACCAGCCAAGUAGCGUGAAGGAUGACUGCCCUAUGGGUUGUAAACUUCUUUUAUAAGGGAAUAAUUGCGGGUACGCGUACCUGUUUGCAUGUACCUUAUGAAUAAGGAUCGGCUAACUCCGUGCCAGCAGCCGCGGUAAUACGGAGGAUCCCAGCGUUAUCCGGAUUUAUUGGGUUUAAAGGGAGCGUAGGCGGGCGCUUAAGUCAGCUGUGAAAGUUUGGGGCUCAACCUUAAAAUUGCAGUUGAUACUGGGUGCCUUGAGUGCGGUAUAGGCAGGCGGAAUUCGUGGUGUAGCGGUGAAAUGCUUAGAUAUCACGAAGAACUCCGAUUGCGAAGGCAGCUUGCUGGAGCGUAACUGACGCUGAUGCUCGAAAGUGUGGGUAUCAAACAGGAUUAGAUACCCUGGUAGUCCACACAGUAAACGAUGAAUACUCGCUGUUUGCGAUAUAUUGUAAGCGGCCAAGCGAAAGCGUUAAGUAUUCCACCUGGGGAGUACGCCGGCAACGGUGAAACUCAAAGGAAUUGACGG